AAGCAGCCGCCGGAAGAACGGAUGCCAUUGAUGUUGGUAAAUAUGAGGGAUAACCUUGCUGCUUU
RNAcentral lists this transfer RNA (65 nucleotides) under Elysia atroviridis. RNAcentral describes it as "tRNA-Ile". Lineage: Eukaryota; Metazoa; Mollusca; Gastropoda; Plakobranchidae. The record is from RNAcentral.